Molecule: ribosomal RNA, 506 nt
Filed under: uncultured bacterium
Lineage: Bacteria
Description: partial 16S ribosomal RNA
Rfam family: Bacterial small subunit ribosomal RNA
Source: RNAcentral
AGUGAACGCUGGCGGUAGGCCUAACACAUGCAAGUCGAACGGCAGCACAGGAGAGCUUGCUCUCUGGGUGGCGAGUGGCGGACGGGUGAGGAAUACAUCGGAAUCUACUCUGUCGUGGGGGAUAACGUAGGGAAACUUACGCUAAUACCGCAUACGACCUACGGGUGAAAGCAGGGGACCUUCGGGCCUUGCGCGAUUGAAUGAGCCGAUGUCGGAUUAGCUAGUUGGCGGGGUAGAGGCCCACCAAGGCGACGAUCCGUAGCUGGUCUGAGAGGAUGAUCAGACACACUGGAACUGAGACACGGUCCAGCCUCCUACGGGAGGCAGCAGUGGGGAAUAUUGGUAUAUGGGCGCAAGCCUGAUCCAGCCAUAACGCGUGGGUGAAGAAGGCCUUCGGGUUGUAAAGCCCUUUUGUUGGGAAAGAAAUCCAGCUGGCUAAUACCCGGUUGGGAUGCCGGUACCCAAAGAAUAAGCACCGGCUAACUUCGUGCCAGCAGCCGCCGUAA